Molecule: non-coding RNA, 2317 nt
Organism: Ictidomys tridecemlineatus (thirteen-lined ground squirrel)
Lineage: Eukaryota; Metazoa; Chordata; Mammalia; Rodentia; Sciuridae
Source: RefSeq, a predicted model, not a curated record
GGGUCCAUAGGUUACCAAGGUACAUUGUUUGUUUGGGGAACCUUCAUCCUCGUCAUGUUUUCUAGACACCUGUGCACAGGUAUGCCGGGGCCUUCCUUCCUCCUCUGGUCCAGACAGCUCUGUUAAGCCCGGUGUCAGCGUGCAGGUCCAGAGUCCUCAUCUCCCUCAUGGACCUCAGUAGAGCAGAGAACACUGGAGCAUUAGUCCAGUUUACUUUCAAAGAUCUGUCAGGAAACACCUCAGCGUCUACAGGAGAACCGAGAUCCAGAGAAUGAAAAACACCAAUUGACACUGCCUUGGAAAAGCCACCAGAUCUCUCGGGAAUUCAGAAUGCUUACGCCCAUAGUACCUGGUCUCCGAGAGGUGUUUGCUGGGCUGGUGGCUCUGUGGAGAAUAGAGCAACGUCAUUAGCCUCCUCCUUAUCAUCAUUCCCAGUGGUGACAGAGGCAGCUGUUCCUGUCUAGUCAUACCCAAGCUUCCCUCAUUUUCCAGAAGGACUUGGUUGCUGGGUGCUCGUGGUACCUCUGGACCGUUGUGAGUGUGUACUGCCCUUCUGUGAGCCAAAGGAAAAUUAAACUCCGGAGCCUUCACCUUUGAUGGCCUCACCAGGAAGGCACGCCCUGUGUCACUCUUUCAAGCCGCGGCUCAGGGAACAUUCUCCGGAAGAGCAGGCCACACGCUUCCUCCUGUGCCUUCCCAGCUGACCCGGCCUGUCAUCUGCUUCCCACAUUGUUCUCAUGGUGCUUGGAGAAUUGCUCUGAAAGGCCUCAAAGCAUCUCAGGAAUGGAAUUGCUAUUUGAUACAAUUCCUGUUGCGUUUGGAGAACACGAAGGGGAAGCAUCUCUUAUUCUCCGUGUGGGGAAAUGCUAACAGAGAAGCUAAAGAGGGAGAAUUCACGAGAAAGAGAGAGAGACACCCAGAAGCAUGUGAGUUUUCAUGGGACAUUGCCAAGUGGUCUUCUGAGAUCACCCCAAUUUAUCCUCAUGUCAGCGGGGCAGAAGAACACUGUCACCUCAUAACCUUGUGAGUUCUGAUUGUCUUGUGUAUUUGAAAAGCCAAUUUUGUAUUGAAAACAUUUUAUUUCAGAAGGAGGGGCCCAGAUUUCCUUUGUGUGUGGUUAUGAGGACCAGGCGGGGGGGCCAGAGAAGCUGUCAAUACUGAGGCCAAGUUUGAACUGAAUCUUGCUGGGGGAGGGGAAUCCGCAGGCGCAGAGGGGUGAGGAGUUGCAGCUAGGAAAGGCAGUGGCAUACGCCAAGGCCUGAGGUCAGGAGGACUCGGAUUUCUUCCCAGGCUUUCCUCAGAGCAGCAGGAGUUGCAGAGGACUCUUUGGAAGGGCGUUCUUCACCUUCCCUUAGUCUCCAUCAAUUUAUACCUCAUUUGAAGCAUUCUCUGUCAUUUAUGUUUCCACCUCUGUCCUCUCCGUCUGGCUCUGCACAUCUUUAUUUCUGAGUCACCCUGGAAAUCUUCUUAAGCUCCUAGCUCCUAGUGGGUGGAGAAGAGAGGGGUUGAGGGUCUCAGGAGGUGGAGGAAGGGAGUCGGGUCACUCGGGAAGGGAACAGAGAGGAGCUCUGUGACGUGUCCAGCGGGGCACCAGCUCACAUCCACUGACUAGGAGCUCAGCCCUGAACAGGUAGCGCAGGACAGGGUACCACCAAGGGUAGGGACUUAACCAGUGCGUGCCCAGGGGGUCGGAGCAGGGAAGCCCACCGUAUGAUUUGAGGUUAGGAGGAGGCCUGGCCGCACUAGGGAGGACGCAUGCGAGGGGAGACUGUGUGGAGCACAGCUGGAAGCCACCGUAUUCAAGGGAGAAGAGGACACUGAACAGCGGGAGCAGGAAGUGGACAGGAGCGCAGGCCCCAGCGACGACUUUCCAGCGUUUGGGACAGGAGCGGUGUGCGCAAGGGGUGGGUGGCAGGUAGAAGGGUCGCCUUGUGUGCUGGCCGGAAUCGGCCUGGGGUGCAGUAGGCUGGCGAGAUCGCGGCCAGCAGGAGCGAGCCACAGAGGCACUGCGGUGCGAGGGGCCUGGGUCCCCUUGGGUGGCCAGGUCGCACGUGCACCCGUGGCCGUCAUUCCUCCCCUUGGCAUGUGAAGCCCAUCCUGCUCAGAGGGGCGUGCAGUGUGGUCCACAAUAUGCACACCAGGUGUUGGAAAUAUUCAUUCGUUUUUAGGUUUUUUAAAAAUUCAUUUUACAGUCAUAUCAUAAAAAUGUAUGAUUAUUUGAAUAACCUGUUGAAAAUUUGAAUAAGGCACAAAUCGUUAAAAAAUCUAUUAUUUCCUCCUCAACAGGUCAUAUGCUGAUGUUUAAGAUACCCACCGU